Molecule: ribosomal RNA, 450 nt
Filed under: uncultured bacterium
Lineage: Bacteria
Description: bacterial SSU rRNA
Rfam family: Bacterial small subunit ribosomal RNA
Source: RNAcentral
CCCAGACUCCUACGGGAGGCAGCAGUGGGGAAUAUUGGGCAAUGGGCGCAAGCCUGACCCAGCAACGCCGCGUGAAGGAAGAAGGCUUUCGGGUUGUAAACUUCUUUUAUUGAGGACGAAACAAAUGACGGUACUCAAUGAAUAAGCCACGGCUAACUACGUGCCAGCAGCCGCGGUAAUACGUAGGUGGCAAGCGUUAUCCGGAUUUACUGGGUGUAAAGGGCGUGUAGGCGGGACUGCAAGUCAGAUGUGAAACCCAUGGGCUCAACCCAUGGCCUGCAUUUGAAACUGUUUUUCUUGAGUACUGGAGAGGCAGACGGAAUUCCUAGUGUAGCGGUGAAAUGCGUAGAUAUUAGGAGGAACACCAGUGGCGAAGGCGGUCUGCUGGACAGCAACUGACGCUGAGGCGCGAAAGCGUGGGGAGCAAACAGGAUUAGAUACCCCGGUAAA